Molecule: long non-coding RNA, 241 nt
Filed under: Ananas comosus (pineapple)
Lineage: Eukaryota; Viridiplantae; Streptophyta; Magnoliopsida; Poales; Bromeliaceae
Description: long non-coding RNA (ACOM_LNC040947)
Source: RNAcentral
CAGACUUAGCCAAUUUUUCAGCAUUUUCAGCCUCUAUCCUUUUUCACUCCGUUUUUGCUCGUUUUCGCUCGUUUGACCUCCGUUUCUUUUCAAAUCGAAUCGAGACUCUCCAAACAUGUUUUCGAACAUGUUUUCAUCAUCUUUUCAUCCACGCUAAUGCCGGAUUUAGUCCACGGUCCAACAUAGCCUUUCGGAUUCCGUUCUCGCGCCCUACGCGCACCGAAGCACCCGAACUUUGCCG